UAUUCCAGAUUUAAAUAAAUUUUUGCUUUUAGAAUAUAAGUAAUAAUAUAAAUUAUAUAUAUAUAUACUCCCGAAGAAUAGAUCGUGGAAUUUAUACAAAAUUUAUUAAAUAAUUUUCCAAAGCUAUAUUAUGCAUACGAUAAAUAAUUUUUUUGGAUAUACCUCUUUGGCUGAUUUUUCGACAAAGAGUAGGCUCCAAAUGACUUAGAUGUUCCAAGCGUGGUUGAAAACUGCAGUUCACGGUUCCAAGACUGUACGGAUCGAAUGGAUCGCCGCACCUUGGAUCGUAUUCGCUGUUGCA
This is a long non-coding RNA of Apis dorsata (giant honeybee), 301 nucleotides long. RefSeq lists it as uncharacterized. Lineage: Eukaryota; Metazoa; Arthropoda; Insecta; Hymenoptera; Apidae. The transcript is spliced from 2 exons. The record is from RefSeq and is a predicted model, not a curated record.